ACCGCUACGCGUACUGAAGCCCUGCUUCUCGGGAGGUGGCCGGACAUCGCUGCUGAUGGGAAGUAGAGACUAACAGCUUAUCUGCUUUUGCUUUGCUUCCCGCACGCACAGCUUUGCUGCUUAUUUAUUAAACUGCUUUUAUCUCAACCCACGAGACUCCCAUCUUAUUGUCUCCCCUUCCCUGGCUUGCUGAGGAGGUGGGGGAUAAAGUGGUGUGGUGGGCACCUGGCAUCCAGCCAGGCUCAAACUACCACACCGUUUUUUCCAAUACUGAUGCAGUAAUUCCCAUCUGUCCUAUCUUCUUGCUUUGACCUUGUUUCUGUUACAAUCUGCUGUUUCGGUUUUCCCCUUGCUCAAGCUUGCUAUCACAUAGACAUUCCUUUCUGUGCUUUUUUUCUGUAGAAGACAAUUCAAAGACAAACUGCUAACUUUCUCUGUUUCUGAUAGACCAUACCAUUCAUUAUAGCCCAGGUCCCAACAGUUACCUUAGCUGUUACCUUAACUACAAGACCCUUGUAAAUGUAUUUGUUAGGUUACUUUGGCUGUUACCUUAGUUGUAACUAAAACAAAGGGACUGAUAUCUUUUUUGACCAAUCACUGUGAUUUGGGAAAUUUUGUGUUUCUCGGGAACCAAUCAUGCUGAAGGGCUAAAUUAGAAAAAUGAAAAUUUUAUGCAUGCUUGUGUUAGCAAAUGUGAUUUUUUUGUUUGAGCUGUCUUAAAACCCUGAAAAUGAUAACAAACAAGGAAGCACUUAUGGAGGAGCUAUCCCACCUGUUUUCCCAGCACUACAUAAAACAGAAGUGCCUGCUAAUCUGUAUUCCUGUGUAGAUAAGCUGCGGAUCCAUCAACACCCCUGUAGCCUAUCAGUCAGCACUGUACCACCUUUGACAUUGCUUUCCUAUGGGAGUUAUCUCCAACACCAUGCAAUUGGCCUGAUCGACACCCAUUGAAAAAAUACAGGCUGCCGGUAGAAGUUACGCCACUACGUCUGGGCACUACAAGAAAGGAGGUACAUAGCCAAAAACUAAAGUAGUAAGUAGGUCCCUAUGUAGUCUAUCAGACAGCACUGUGUCACCUUUGCAGCUGCUUUCCUGUGGGAGCUAUCUCCAAUCCCACGCACUUAGAUUGCUCAACUCCCAUUGAAAAAAUACAUGCUGUCGGUAGAAAUUAGACCAGUGCGCAUGGGAGCUUAAAGAAAGCAGGAAGGCAGAACCCACCUACAUUGAUACGUACGUCCCAUUGUGAUCUAUCAGCUUGCACCGUUCCACCUUUGCAGUGGCUUUACUGUGGGAGUUCUCUCCAAUCCCACACAAUUGGCCUGCUCAACUGCCAUUGAAAAAAUACAGGCUGUUGGUAGAAGUGAAAUCACUGCGUAUGGGAGCUACAAGAAAGCAGGAAGGCAGACGCCACCUACAGUGGUACGUAGGUCCCAUUGUAGACUAUCAGUCAGCACUGUCUCCCAUUUGCAGCUGCUUUCCUGUGGGAGUUAUCAAAUAUCCCACAGUCUAAGCCUCGUCAGCUCCCUUUGAAAAUACAUGAUUUCGGAAGAAGUUACGCCACCGCGUCUGGGCACUACAAGAAAGCAAGUACACAGACCCCAACUACAGUGAUGGCAGCGAGCAGCCUCAGAGCACUUGAGGUUCUUCUAUUUCGGGCAACAAAAGCAAUGACAUGGGGAAACAAGAGUUCACCUUUGCGGUGUAGAAGACAUUGUAGAGUUUGGUUGAUGCUGAUAGCUUCCUCUGGAUUUAUUUAGAGAUCUCACAUUUCCAGGCUAUUUGUAAAGAUCAAACUUGCUGCCACAGAUCUUAGGCAAUUCCUGCCACGUCUCACGCUUUCCUGGUCUGGAUGCAGAAAUGGUUCCUUUGAAAACAACAGGCUAAAGAGAUGAAAAACAAGUCAUAUGCCAAUGUUCCCAAGGUCUGAGGAGCUCUGGUGUCUCCUGUCUCAGUGGUAUCUCCACGUCCUGCUGGAUGCAGAAACUGGAUGUCCACUGAACCUUUAUAUGCCGCUGUCCGUGCAUGGUGUGAAUAGCUCAAGUUGAUCGAUAGUAAGAGUGAAUGCAAGAUGGUGUAAUAGGAACUGGCUGUGAUCUGAAUCUCCCUCAUUUCAAUAUUCAGGAAGGGAAAAGGGGAUUUAAAACAAUAUUCAAGGAAUUCCAGACACACACAAUUUUCAGCAAAAACCACGAGUUACCUGCUCCUUUCCCUGGGUUCCUGUCUAAGGACUCUGAGAGAUAUUCACUGGUAGGAAGAGCCACGUCAUUAGAAGUUUAUAGGGAUAUAGUCAACUAUGAAAGCUUUUAUUAAACUUACACAUUAAGUGUAAAAAGUACGUCUUCACCUGAACCCAAUUAAAUGUCUAAACAUAAAAUCAUAGAAUGGUUUGAGUUGGAAGGGACCUUUAAAGGUCAUAUUGUCCAACCCUUCUUCAGUGAGCAGGAACAUCUUCAAGUAGAUCAGAUUGUUCAGAGUCUCAUCCAACCUGACCUUGAUUGUUUCCAAGGAUGGGGCUUCUACCACCUUUCUAGGCAGACUGGGACAUUGUUUCAACACCCUCAUUGUAAAAGUUUUCUUCUUUAUAUGUAGUCUGAAUCUCUCUUCCAUUAGUUUAAAACCGUUGUCCCAUCACAACAGACCCUACUAAAACAUACUUCUCCAAUAGUUGGGUUUUAAAUGCUACUGAUGUGAGCAGGGGAGGAGCUGUAGAAUGUAAAAUGAUUUCUGAUAGUGUGCUGAGAAUGUGGGACCUGAUGCUUUGCUCUCCAUUCAUACAGGCAAAUCUUCCUAUACUCUCAUACAACAGAGAAACACCCAAAGGUAAAGCUUAAAGUGAGAUUAGGUUUCAUGAGAGCUGAAGCCAGCCUUGUUAAAGAUGCUCAGGGACCAGUCCAUCCAGCCAGUCUUGUUGACUUUCAUUCACAGCAUCUGUGUUGGUGUAAGAGGUGGCAAUGACAUACAAGAGAAUAAUUGGGAUAUAAAGGCAAGUUGGAACAAUUAUUUUUUGGCCAAUUCACUUUACUUCUUAAUGGUCCCUUGGAGGGAUGCUCUUCAGGCUUUUUAGUGGUGUUGUAAACAUGAAAAUACAUCCCAUUUAGUACAAAGACUAACUAACUCUUAGAACUCACCAGGUAAGAAAUACUGAGUGGGGUUGGUUGACUUCUUCCAAUUGUGGAUAAUGUAAAGAUUUCUUGACAUACACAAAUUUAACUUUGAAAUUGAGAACCUGAAUUUAGAUUUUACCUGGCAAGUUGAUAGUUACACAUGUCCAUAGCUUAAUGAAACUGCAGUAAAUCCUUUGGCAGAGUUACAGAAUGUAAUAGCCCGUGGCACAGUCUGUCACCUGCAAAAUGGAUUAUUGUUGCUUUCUUUCAUUUUGUGGGUUAAGCAAGUAUUUAAGGGUAUUGUCCCAUGAAAGCAUUUUUUAACAAACAUAUGGUAUGAGUUCGUUGGGCAGUUCUUUUGCUUUUUAAUCUUUUGGAAGAAAGUCCCAUGUGAAAAGACUUUUACAAAUUAUUAUGGUAGGUUUCAGAUUUGAUUUUAAUGCUCUGUCAUAAUGAAGGCAAUAGAGAUUUGAAUGAAAUGACAACAGAUCCACUAGUGAUGCCCCAUCUGCUACACUGUCAUGUAGAAUAUUAUUGCUCAAAGUUGAACUUCCAAGAUAAAACAACCUGGUAAUGUAAUACAAAUACCAGAAUAUAUUUAUUUUAAAUUUUUGGUGGAAGCAGGGAAAAGUAAAGUUAAUUUACUGAUUUUUGAAGGCUUAAAGGAAGAUAUGAAUGAUUACUUAGCCAUUUAGUGUUUCUCUGCAGUAAAUGUGCUGGGAUUUCAACAGAAUGUUGGUGAUAUUGAAAUUAAAGGUUGAUUUUAUUUAGAAUUUUUUUCAGAAGAAUCACAGAAUGCUCAAAUGACUUUGUGUGGUAAAUACAGCUAGCAGGGAUCUGCCACCGGAUCUGGCCUUUCAGUCCUUUUUCAAUGGUUAAUGAGGACAACCAUUCUCUUCCCUUUUCCUAAAAGGAUGAAAAGAACAUCAUCAUCUAGGAGUAACUCCAAAGAUACAUAGAACUGUAUUUCUUGGGGUCUCUGGUGGCACAACUUUUGGGCUGAUGAGCAGUGUACAGCCAGAAGAAAGCAGACAAAACCCCAUGUCUUUUUUUUAAUGGCCUCACAGCAACAUGGAGCACAUUGCAAUGUUCGCUGCUUGUGAAAGCCUCUUCAACUUGCUCAAGAAGAUAAAUAAGCCGGUAUAUAUUUAUGGACUAUAUUUCAUUCAUGGAUGAGAAAGGAGUAUUAAAAGACUGCAUCAAACACAACAGCAAAAUAUACCAGACAUGCUUAUAUGACUUUCCUGGUUGUAUGGAGAAAGGCUGUACAGUGCUGAUCCCUCUAGCCCAGGACUCUGCCUCUCCUGGCAGGUAGAACUGAGUGCUCAGUGAAGGAGAAGAAAAUCAGAUAGUUAUAUGCCUCCCAAACAUCCUCCAGCAAUUUGUGACUCCAAGAUGUUCAAAGCCAGAAGACGCAUCUAGGUGUGCAAUAACCCUCAAUAGAUUGUCAGCAGAGAAGUUGUCAGGGAAGACUCAUCCAGUCCUUCCUUGGAUGCUUACAAGCUUUUAUCACUCAGAGCAAACUGUGGACACCAGCCACUGUCUAGCUGUGCACUGUUCAAGGGAUCACCUCCCUUGCUUUCAACUCACUGCCUGGUGGAAACCAGAUCAUACUCCUUCUUUUGCUGGGGGAGUGAAGAGAUGAUCUGCCAUCCUGUCUCUGACACUCAUGUCUUCAUCCACAUCUGCCUUCUGUUCUGGGAUGAAAACUCUAAAUCUACAAUCACCCAGGAUGAAAACUCCUAAUCUAGGAUCAUCCUUGUUGCUCUUCUCCCAGCCUUUUGUGCAUCUUCUCAGUCAUUUUUGAGAUGGGAAAACCAAAUCACAUUAUUUAGUCAUCCAAAGUUAUCUCUUUUGUUCUCUUUUCUUUCCUUGAAGAUCCUAAAACUAAUUUCUCUUUGACUGCUGUUGAGCUCUGUGCUGAUGUUUCCUGCAGUUAUUUAUCAUAAUCCCAAGAUUGCUUUCCAGGUUGCUUAAAUAUCUUCAGAGCUUACAGUAAGAGGCUUGGUUGGGAGCUGUUUGGAAGUAAAUGGAUUGUAUCAACUGGAUCUGCCCAUGACCUUAUGACUCUUUACAAAAGCACCAGGUCUGUGAAACUUGGCUUUUCCCCCAAGUGCUGAUAACAUUUAUCCAAGUGCUUCAGUUCGUCUUCAAUGUUCAAGAGUAAAAUGGUAAAAAAGAGACAAGAAAGUUGCUGUGUUAGCAAGGUGAACUGACAUCUCCUAACAAGAUGCAGAAAGACUGUGAAGAUAAACUUCAAAAGUUCUGAUGACUGCUCAUUUUCUUCUAGGGAACAUGAACACCAUCAUAACGUGUAAGACUAAAAAAAUAUCUACUGGCUUCACUAAGCUAUUUAUUGUACUUAAAUUUUUGCUUAAAAUCAAACAUCUGAGUUAAAUAAACUUGGAGAAGUUGAAAGUCUUCCAACUGUUAUGGUGUUCAAAGAGUAGGCUGGGGAGGUGUAGUUGAUGAAGCAAAAUUAUAUUUAUCCACUAAGUUAGCAAAUUGAAAUCUAAGAACACAUCAUUACUUUAUGAUUAUUAUUAACCAGGAAACAGAAGAUACAUUUGUAGUUGUCUGUAUUUUGAAUUGAGUAAAAAUCUUUUCGUUUACAUCCUGUUGAUAGUAGCUAUCUACGAAUUGGAAUUCUCUGAUGCAAUUGCUAAUGUCUGUUUUGUAAACUCUACUCAAACUUGCUGGAGAAAAGCUAAGUAGAAAUAAAC
Colius striatus (speckled mousebird) is the source of this 5827-nucleotide long non-coding RNA. RefSeq lists it as uncharacterized. The transcript is spliced from 8 exons. The record is from RefSeq and is a predicted model, not a curated record. NCBI's taxonomy places the organism in Eukaryota, Metazoa, Chordata, Aves, Coliiformes, Coliidae.